This is a long non-coding RNA of Dioscorea cayenensis subsp. rotundata (Guinea yam), 780 nucleotides long. RefSeq lists it as uncharacterized. The record is from RefSeq and is a predicted model, not a curated record. NCBI's taxonomy places the organism in Eukaryota, Viridiplantae, Streptophyta, Magnoliopsida, Dioscoreales, Dioscoreaceae. The transcript has 3 exons.
AGCCCAGCUAUAGACAUCCUUUAUUCUACCCACUGAGAAAGUUAUGCAUGUUAGAGCUCCUUUAGUAAGAAGAGAAUGCAAUCCUUUAGGAGAGGGAGAAGAUAGAGUUCAUGUCUUGAUCUAAGUAUAAGACCUUGCUCUCAAGAUGAAAAUCCAUUGGUGAUCUAAGUGAGAUGCUUUUCUACAUGAGUAUUACUAUCACCGGAAGUUAAACUUCGGCAAGAGGUUAGCAUCAUUCUUCAAGAGUUUUCUCACUUAGAGAGAGAGAGAGAGAGAGAGAGAGAGAGAGAGAGAAAAUUCUGGUAUUGAAAAUCCGGCGAAGCUCCGGCGAUGCUCCGGCGUGGAAACUUGAUAGAGGGAAUGGUUGGGUUUUGGACACAUGAAUGUUGGAAGAAGCUUGAUUUCAUUAAAUCUAAAGUAUGGUGGGUUUCUACUCUUGCUUCUUUGGUGUCCAUUGUUGGAGGUUAGAGAGAUGUGAUGGAAUUAUGAUGAUAAAGACAUGAGGUUAUGGCUGCAUAAUGCCUUGUUGGACCACUUGAGAAGUGGCUUUGGGUCUUCGCAUUGUGUCUUGGAGUAGAGUAUUUUCGAGAUCAAGAGUGGUAGACCGUGGUGGAUCUUGAAAGACUGCCUGUAGAUGUUGCUUGUCCUGUGUAAAAUUGUAGUCCUUGUCAUUGUCUAUCACUAUGUCCCUGUAUUUUGUAUUUUGGACUUCUGUAUCCCGAUUUUGUGUACUUUGUAGAGUUUGUAAUCCUGUAACUCAGUUGGGUUAUUAUAGUUUUA